This 110-nucleotide ribosomal RNA is filed under the name uncultured Thiobacillus sp. RNAcentral's name for it is "partial 16S ribosomal RNA". Lineage: Bacteria; Pseudomonadati; Pseudomonadota; Betaproteobacteria; Nitrosomonadales; Thiobacillaceae. The record is from RNAcentral.
UGGUGGCGAGUGGCGAACGGGUGAGUAAUGCGACGGAACGUACCGAGUAAUGGGGGAUAACGCAGCGAAAGCUGUGCUAAUACCGCAUACGCCCUGAGGGGGAAAGUGUC